AAGGAUCAUUACUGUGGGGGCCCCCCGGGGCCCCUGCCGAGAUAGCACCCCUUGUCUUUUCGAGCACCAACCGUUUCCUCGGCGGGCACGCCCGCCAGCGGGGACCAAAAGAAACCUUAAACCGCAGUAUCAGCAGUCGCAAACGUACCAAAACAAAAAAUCAAAACUUUCAACAACGGAUCUCUUGGUUCUG
RNAcentral lists this unclassified non-coding RNA (193 nucleotides) under uncultured fungus. RNAcentral's name for it is "partial contains 18S rRNA, ITS1, 5.8S rRNA, ITS2 and 28S rRNA". The record is from RNAcentral. Lineage: Eukaryota; Fungi.